Molecule: long non-coding RNA, 157 nt
Filed under: Prolemur simus (greater bamboo lemur)
Lineage: Eukaryota; Metazoa; Chordata; Mammalia; Primates; Lemuridae
Description: TTC28 antisense RNA 1 conserved region 2 (ENSPSMG00000018058.1)
Rfam family: TTC28 antisense RNA 1 conserved region 2
Source: RNAcentral
AAAAUGGCAGAAUGGAAGAAUUGUGAGGGGAACUGGAAAGUAGGAAAGACAUGUACCAGCACCCAAAAUGAGAAAGAAAGACAUAUAAGCAAAAAGACUAAUACUCAUGAAAAAAAAAGACUAAUGGAUUAACAUCUCCAUUGUGUGACUUUUUCUU